UACGAAGGGGGCUAGCGUUGCUCGGAAUCACUGGGCGUAAAGCGCACGUAGGCGGCUUCUUAAGUCAGGGGUGAAAUCCUGGAGCUCAACUCCAGAACUGCCUUUGAUACUGAGAAGCUUGAGUCCGGGAGAGGUGAGUGGAACUGCGAGUGUAGAGGUGAAAUUCGUAGAUAUUCGCAAGAACACCCGUGGCGAAAGCGGCUCUCUGGAACGGUACUGACGCUGAGACGCGAAAGCGUGGGGAGCGAACAGG
Molecule: ribosomal RNA, 253 nt
Filed under: uncultured bacterium
Lineage: Bacteria
Description: partial 16S ribosomal RNA
Rfam family: Bacterial small subunit ribosomal RNA
Source: RNAcentral